This 433-nucleotide ribosomal RNA is filed under the name uncultured bacterium. RNAcentral's name for it is "partial 16S ribosomal RNA". It matches the Rfam family "Bacterial small subunit ribosomal RNA", at positions 29 to 507 of the family's 1533-position model. The record is from RNAcentral.
AACGAACGCUGGCGGCAUGCCUAACACAUGCAAGUCGAACGAGACCUUCGGGCCUAGUGGCGCACGGGUGCGUAACGCGUGGGAACCUGCCCUUAGGUUCGGAAUAACUCCCCGAAAGGGGUGCUAAUACCGGAUAAUGUCUUCGGACCAAAGAUUUAUCGCCUUUGGAUGGGCCCGCGUUGGAUUAGCUAGUUGGUAGGGUAAAAGCCUACCAAGGCGACGAUCCAUAGCUGGUCUGAGAGGAUGAUCAGCCACACUGGGACUGAGACACGGCCCAGACUCCUACGGGAGGCAGCAGUGGGGAAUAUUGGACAAUGGGCGAAAGCCUGAUCCAGCAAUGCCGCGUGAGUGAUGAAGGCCGUAGGGUUGUAAAGCUCUUUUACCCGGGAUGAUAAUGACAGUACCGGGAGAAUAAGCACCGGCUAACUCCGUG